Molecule: ribosomal RNA, 207 nt
Filed under: uncultured bacterium
Lineage: Bacteria
Description: partial 16S ribosomal RNA
Rfam family: Bacterial small subunit ribosomal RNA
Source: RNAcentral
CUCGUAGGCGGCCAACUAAGUCAGACGUGAAAUCCCUAGGCUCAACCUAGGAACUGCGUCUGAUACUGGAUGGCUUGAAUCCGGGAGAGGGAUGCAGAAUUCCAGGUGUAGCGGUGAAAUGCGUAGAUAUCUGGAGGAAUACCGGUGGCGAAGGCGGCAUCCUGGACCGGCAUUGACGCUGAGGAGCGAAAGCUAGGGGAGCAAACG